This 1141-nucleotide ribosomal RNA is filed under the name marine metagenome. RNAcentral describes it as "bacterial LSU rRNA". It matches the Rfam family "Bacterial large subunit ribosomal RNA", at positions 1778 to 2925 of the family's 2925-position model. The record is from RNAcentral.
CACAGAAAAUCGGCUCCUGCGACUGUUUAUCAAAAACACAGGACUCUGCCAACUCGUAAGAGGACGUAUAGAGUCUGACGCCUGCCCGGUGCCGGUAGGUUAAGGAAGACGGUUAUCCCAUUAGGGAGAAGCUGGCGACCGAAGCCCCGGUAAACGGCGGCCGUAACUAUGACGGUCCUAAGGUAGCGAAGUUCCUUGUCGGGUAAGUUCCGACCUGCAUGAAAGGCGUAACGACAGGAGCACUGUCUCAACCACCAACUCGGUGAAAUUGUAGUCGUGGUGAAGAUGCCACGUACCCGCGGUUAGACGGAAAGACCCCGUGAACCUUUACUGUAGGCAGAUAUUGGGCUGAGAUAUGUUUUGUGUAGGAUAGGUGGGAGGCUUUGAGCUGGUAGCGCUAGCUAUCAAGGAGCCGUCCUUGAAAUACCACCCUGAAUAUGUUUUAGUUCUAACCAUGAUCCAGUGAAUCCUGGCAUGGAACAGUGUCUGUUGGGCAGUUUGACUGGGGCGGUCUCCUCCCAAAGAGUAACGGAGGAGUGCAAAGGUACCCUCAGCCUGGUUGGCAAUCAGGCAUAGAGCGUAAAGGUAGAAGGGUGCUUGACUGCGAGACUCAUCAGUCGAGCAGGAACGAAAGUUGGUCUUAGUGAUCCGGUGGUCCCGAAUGGAAGGGCCAUCGCUCAUCAGAUAAAAGGUACUCCGGGGAUAACAGGCUUAUCGCUCCCGAGCGUCCAUAGCGGCGGAGCGGUUUGGCACCUCGAUGUCGGCUCAUCACAUCCUGGGGGUGAAGAAGCUCCCAAGGGUUUGGCUGUUCGCCAAUGAAAGUGGUACGUGAGCUGGGUUCAGACCGUCGUGAGACAGGUCGGUCCCUAUCUGCCGUGGGCGUACGAAACUUGAGGAGGUUCUUCUUUAGUACGAGAGGAUUUGGAAGGACGUAGCUCUGGUGUACCAGUUGUCGCGCUAGCGGCACGGCUGGAUAGCUAACUACGGAAAGGAUAAACGCUGAAAGCAUCUAAGCGUGAAGCCCUCUCCGAGAUUAGGUUUCGCAUGAGUCCCCUUGAAGACGACAAGGUUGAUAGGUCAGAUGUGUAAGCUCAGUAAUGGGUUCAGCUAACUGAUACUAACGGACAAACGGCUUGGCCAC